UUUGCAAGGGGGGUGAUAGCCCCUGUGGGGGCCAUUUGGCCCCUGUUGGGGGUCCAUACCCCUUGUGUGGGGGAUGAAACCCCUGUUGGGGGGCCAGAUCCCUUGUGAGAGGGCCAAAACCACUGUUGGGGGGGCCAUCGCCUUGUGGGAGUGCAACAAAACUCAGGAACCAGCUGCGGGAAGAAGAGGAUCCAGGCACACGUGUGUCCCGCCUGCACGUGUGCCCCCUUACUAACUCACUGACUGGAGGCAGAAGCAGCAGCAGCAGAGGAAUCAGCAGCGGGGGCAGCAACAGCUGAUCCCCCGAAGGACCAGGCACACAAGGAAGAAGCAGCCCAGGGAGUGCCCUCCACAGCAGAGUGGCAGACGGUAACAUCCAGAACUGGAGCUGCUCACAGCAAACUGGUACCAGUUCCUCCAGUCUGACUAGAGAAUAGGUCAAGAGAUCCAAGCGGACCCAGAGGAGGAGGCAUCGAGUGAUUGUCAUAGGAGACUCCAUCCUGAGAGUGAGCGGACGCUGAAGACGGCAUGAGAACUGCAUUACAGAGACCAACUGGCGGGUUCGGCAAUGGUGUCUCGAGGCAGGCUUCAACUUCCUGGACAAUGGCCCGCACAUCACGACGAGGGACAUGCUCAGUUGGGAUGGGCUUCACCUGUCCCCCAAAGGUUACGAAACGCCUGGACACAGGAAGAGGGGUGGAUGUCGUAUACUUAGACUUCAGGAAGGCCUUCAAUACGGUAUCCCACCCCAUACUGGUGAACAAGUUAAGAGGCUGUGACUUGGACGACUACACAGUCCGGUGGGUGGCGAAUUGGCUAGAGGGUCGCACCCAGAGAGUCGUAGUGGAUCUUUCGGUUUCGAACCUGGAAGGGUGUGGGCAGUGGAGUCCCGCAGGGCUCGGUCCUUGGACCGAUACUCUUCAAUGUCUUCAUCAGUGACUUGGAUGAGGGACUGAAGUGUACUCUGUCCAAGUUUGUGGAUGACACAAAGCUGUGGGGAGAAGUGGACACGCCAGAGGGGAGGCAACAGCUACAAGCAGACCUGGACAGGUUGGGAAAUGGGCAGAAAACAGAAUGCAGUUCAACAAGGAGAAAUGCAAAGUGCUGCACCUAGGGAGGAGAAAUGUCCAGCAUACCUACUGCCUAGGAAAUGACCUGCUUGGUGGCACGGAAGCGGAAAGGGAUCUUGGAGUCCUAGCGGACUCCAAGAUGAACAUGAGUUGGCAGUGUGACGAAGCCAUCAGAAAAACCAAUGGCACUUUAUCGUGCAUCAGCAGAUGCAUGACAAAUAGAUCCAAGGAGGUGAUAAUUCCCCUCUAUCGGGCGCUGGUCAGACCGCAGUUGGAGUACUGUGUGCAAUUCUGGGCGCCGCAUUUCAAGAGGGAUGUGGAUAACCUGGAGAGGGUCCAGAGAAUGGCCACUCGUAUGGUUAAGGGCUUGCAGGCCAAGCCUACGAGGAUGGACUAGAUAACCUGGACCUUUUUAGCCUCCGCAAGAGAAGGUUGAGAGGCGACCUUGUGGCUGCCUAUAAGUUCAUCAUGGGGGCACAGAAGGGAAUUGGUGAGGUUUUAUUCACGAAGGCGCCCCCAGGGGUUACAAGAAAUAAUGGCCACAAGCUAGCAGAGAGCAGAUUUAGACUGGACAUUAGGAAGAACUUCUUCACAGUUUGAGUGGCCAGGGUCUGGAACGAGCUCCCAAGGGAGGUGGUGCUCUCUCCUACCCUGGGGGUCUUCAAGAGGAGGUUAGAUGAGCAUCUAGCUGGGGUCAUCUAGACCCAGCACUCUUUCCUGCCUAUGCAGGGGGUCGGACUCGAUGAUCUAUUGAGGUCCCUUCCGACCCUAACAUCUAUGAAUCUAGGGUUGUGCAAAAUUUUGGCAGCCAUUUCAUUUUGGAGCUAUUUCAGCCCAUUUCAGUGCCUGAAACACUGAAUCUGAAAUGAAACGGAAGGCUCUGAACAUCUACAAAAUGAAACUAAGCCAUCUGAAAUGUUUUGGAUGUUUUGGAGGUGUGCUUGUGGGGAAGCAGAAACUCAGAAGAGGGAGGAGGAAGUAGGGAGGAGGGAGAAGGACUGCUCUGAUAUUUACAUCUCUACCUGGCCACUGUCUGUGAUCUGUCUCUGAGGUCCCUUCCAAUCCCAGUGCUCUGGGGGAGGGAAGGAGAAACAGCAUAUAAGGCUCUGUGUGAAGCCUUUUGUGAGCUGUCUGUCCAGAAGGAACAGUGUAUGAAAGGUACUGAUUGGCUGCAAUGGCUGGCUUUUUAGUCAGUCUCUUGCUAAUGUCUCUUUUUGGAAAGGAUUGGAUAUACACCUUUCCAAUAUAUUACAGAUAGAAGAUAUAGUAGGCAGCUAGAAGAAGAUAUAGUAAAGACAUAGAAGAUAUAGUAUAGUAAAAUAAGCAGAUAGAAGAAAAUACAGUAUAGUAAUAUAGUGUUAGGGGAGGUAUGAAGCUGAGGAAUGAAUGUCACCCCUAGACAUCAGAAGUCUAAAUGAGAAGCCUCCCACCUGGGAAACAUAUGAAUCAGUUUUCCAUCAAUCCAUACCAGGUGCAAGAGGGGCAGGUGAUUUGCCCAGAAACAGGUGGGUGGGCUAAGAUCUCAUUCACGCUGGAAAAGCAGGUGGCUUUCCUGGAUAAGGAAGCAACUAGUUGGUUUGUGUGUGCUUUUCCUGGAUGGACUGAAUAAUGAAGAAGCCAGAGGCUGG
Molecule: long non-coding RNA, 2698 nt
Organism: Alligator mississippiensis (American alligator)
Lineage: Eukaryota; Metazoa; Chordata; Crocodylia; Alligatoridae
Exons: 5
Source: RefSeq, a predicted model, not a curated record